Schistosoma mansoni is the source of this 45-nucleotide non-coding RNA. NCBI's taxonomy places the organism in Eukaryota, Metazoa, Platyhelminthes, Trematoda, Strigeidida, Schistosomatidae. The record is from Rfam.
AUCCAGCUGACGAGUCCCGAAUAUAAAGAAACACGCGUCCUGGAU